Molecule: ribosomal RNA, 420 nt
Filed under: Triticum aestivum (bread wheat)
Lineage: Eukaryota; Viridiplantae; Streptophyta; Magnoliopsida; Poales; Poaceae
Description: partial small subunit ribosomal RNA
Source: RNAcentral
AUGUCCACCUAUGGUGGCACACAAUAUGACAUCGAUACUUUAGUUUGGAAGGAUCAAGCGGGGGGAAAUUGGUGGCUGCAAGUGGGAGGCAAUUAUGUGGGGUAUUGGCCAUCAUCCAUCUUCUCCUACUUGGCAGAUAGUGCCUCUACCAUCAUGUGGGGUGGCGAGGUAUUUUCACCCGAUGCCGGCCAAACUUCCACACAUAUGGGCAGUGGACACUUCCCGAAUGAAGGGUUUGCUAAGGCGAGUCACAUCAAGAACAUUCAAGUGGUAGACUCCUCCAACUUUCUCAAUCCCCCAAGUGAUGUGGGCUUGAUAACUGAGCAGAACAACUGUUAUAAUGUGCAAAGUGACACCUAUGGCGACUGGGGCACUUACAUCUACUAUGGUGGCCCUGGCAAUAACCAUAACUGUCCAUGA